GGUGAUUAGCUCAGCUGGGAGAGCACCUCCCUUACAAGGAGGGGGUCGUC
This 50-nucleotide transfer RNA is filed under the name Salmonella enterica subsp. enterica serovar Enteritidis. RNAcentral's name for it is "tRNA-Val". Lineage: Bacteria; Pseudomonadati; Pseudomonadota; Gammaproteobacteria; Enterobacterales; Enterobacteriaceae. The record is from RNAcentral.